UGCCCGCUCGUCUAACGGUAGGACACGAGAUUCUGGAUCUUGAGAUUGGGGUUCGAAACCCUGGCGGGCAGCCA
Molecule: transfer RNA, 74 nt
Filed under: Sulfitobacter litoralis
Lineage: Bacteria; Pseudomonadati; Pseudomonadota; Alphaproteobacteria; Rhodobacterales; Roseobacteraceae
Also listed under: 1 other name
Description: tRNA-Gln
Rfam family: tRNA
About the family: Transfer RNA (tRNA) molecules are approximately 80 nucleotides in length.
Source: RNAcentral